This 1177-nucleotide long non-coding RNA is filed under the name Strigops habroptila (Kakapo). RNAcentral's name for it is "lncRNA (ENSSHBG00005003370.1)". Lineage: Eukaryota; Metazoa; Chordata; Aves; Psittaciformes; Psittacidae. The record is from RNAcentral.
AGUGAAGCAAUCAUUUUAUUGUUCGGUUUCAUUAACUGGGACAUGGGAUAACUACAUGUGUCAAGAGCUAGAAAGAGGAAAGCUACUUUUAACAUGCUUAGGUCCUGGCAUUAGAUACUCACCAGAAUUUCUGCCUGAGGAUUGCGGCACUGAAAUCUACCAAAGGUUAUUAUCCUAACCAGACAUGGUGGUGGUGGCUGAGGAGAGGCUGUGUGAUGUUAACUGCAGUUUCUGCUUCGCUGCACUACCUUGUCAUGACAUUAGCGCAUAUUUUACAUUCUGUGAGGGGAAUGCUUCCGUCCUCCUCUCUGCUGCUUAGAAACAGUGAAGAGAUGAGAUCUGACACUUGAAAAUGCUAUAGUGCUGUGACCUUGUCAGGGUAUAAGAUGGUCUUAGUGGAUGCAGAAAAUUCAGCUGCCCCAAGUAUUUUUGCUUUGUCCAGCUGGUGUCCUACCAUCUCCAGUACGAUCUGAAAUACAAAGCUGCUUCCAGACAGCACUGCUUUGUAACUCAUUUGGCUUUACUGGCCCUGUCAGAGUUAAUUGGAUUUGUGACAUGGUCAGAUGUUUACUUCUUGAUUCUGUUGUCCCUUGCCCUACAGGACACAUAUGCCAGGGGAAGCUACAGUUCAUGUAGCAAAUACUAAAAAUCUGAAGAGAGACAUGGACACACUGUCAAAAUUUUUAGGAACUAAAUUUAAGGAAAUGUGUGCUUAAAAUACUUUUUACUAUUACUCUAAUCUAUGCCAUAGCUUGGUCAGGCAUAUAAGCCCAACAAAAUCUUAUUGAAGAUGAAUGAUGUUUUGGGGAAGAAUGCACAUAAAACACAAAUAUGAGGUUACACUUCUAGCAAAAUCUCUUAGCUUUCUUAAGAAUUAGAAAAACAUACAGUGUUUAUUAAAGCCACUGCCUACAGCCAUAAUUUUAUCAUCCUUUCCUUUGUGUAUUAACUUCUUAUGUGUUGUAUACAAGAUGACAGUCUCUGGCUAUAAAGUAGCUCCUGUGCAAUUCACUUUCUAAAUCUUUGCUACUAUUACUAAUGUAAUAUUUUGCUGUAAACAUUUUUAAAUACAGUGAAAAACAGAUCAAUAACUGUGAUAAACAUUAAGCGUUUUAAAACAAAAGCCACAAAAGAAGAGAACUUCAUUUACAUCUACUGCAAAAAGCAUGAGUUUGGG